CCUAUGCUGCCGAGAAAAGCCUCUAGCGAGCUGGUACACGGCCCGUACCCCAAACCGACACAGGUGGUCAGGUAGAGAAUACUAAGGCGAUCGAGAGAACUGUGGUUAAGGAACUCGGCAAAAUGCCCCCGUAACUUCGGGAGAAGGGGGACCACGCCUGGUGAAGGGUUUUACACCUGGAGCUGGGUGGGGUCGCAGAGACCAGAGAGAAGCGACUGUUUACUAAAAACACAGGUCCGUGCGAAGUCGUAAGACGAUGUAUACGGACUGACGCCUGCCCGGUGCCGGAAGGUUAAGAGGACCGGUUAGCCUGUAAGGGCGAAGCUGAGAAUUUAAGCCCCGGUAAACGGCGGUGGUAACUAUAACCAUCCUAAGGUAGCGAAAUUCCUUGUCGGGUAAGUUCCGACCUGCACGAAUGGCGUAACGACUUCUCUGCUGUCUCAACCACAGACUCGGCGAAAUUGCAUUACGAGUAAAGAUGCUCGUUACGCGCGGCAGGACGAAAAGACCCCGAGACCUUCACUAUAGCUUGGUAUUGGUGUUCGGUACGGUUUGUGUAGGAUAGGUGGGAGACUGUGAAGCUCGGACGCUAGUUCGGGUGGAGUCGUCGUUGAAAUACCACUCUGAUCGUAUUGGACUUCUAACCUCGGACCAUGAUCUGGUUCAGGGACAGUGCCUGGUGGGUAGUUUAACUGGGGCGGUUGCCUCCCAAAAUGUAACGGAGGCGCCCAAAGGUUCCCUCAGCCUGGUUGGCAAUCAGGUGUUGAGUGCAAGUGCACAAGGGAGCUUGACUGUGAGACUGACAGGUCGAGCAGGGACGAAAGUCGGGACUAGUGAUCCGGCACCGGCAAGUGGAAGCGGUGUCGCUCAACGGAUAAAAGGUACCCCGGGGAUAACAGGCUGAUCUUCCCCAAGAGUCCAUAUCGACGGGAUGGUUUGGCACCUCGAUGUCGGCUCGUCGCAUCCUGGGGCUGGAGUAGGUCCCAAGGGUUGGGCUGUUCGCCCAUUAAAGCGGCACGCGAGCUGGGUUUAGAACGUCGUGAGACAGUUCGGUCUCUAUCCGCCGCGCGCGUAAGAAACUUGAGGAAGGCUGUCCCUAGUACGAGAGGACCGGGACGGACGAACCUCUGGUGUGCCAGUUGUUCCGCCAGGAGCACUGCUGGUUGGCUACGUUCGGAAGGGAUAACCGCUGAAAGCAUCUAAGCGGGAAGCCUGUUCCAAGAUGAGGUUUCUCUCCCACUUGAUGGGUUAAGGCCCCCUACAGACCAUGGGGUUGAUAGGCCAGAAUUGGAAGCCAGGUAACUGGUGUAGGUGACUGGUACUAAUAGGCCGAGGGCUUGC
Molecule: ribosomal RNA, 1341 nt
Filed under: metagenome
Description: bacterial LSU rRNA
Rfam family: Bacterial large subunit ribosomal RNA
Source: RNAcentral